UAGACUGCAGAACCAAUUGGCUGACUUUGGGGCGACCAUCUUGCCCAGACACCACAUGCUGAAACACUUGGUCGGAAGGAUCAUUCCACCCCACUUUGAGUGGAUCAAAGAUGACAAGGCCCAAGUAGGGGCAAGUUUGAGCCUGGCCAGUUCAAUAUUGGGUGCUAACUGGAGUGGCUAAUGUCUAUGUUUUGUCACACGUAUUUUGCUCUGCUCAGAAUGGAAGAAGAUGGUUUUCCUUUGUGUUGCGGUUUGGCCCCCAGGGCUGUGGUGUGGCGAGCCAAGUCACUAGGGCUGCCCAAGGAAAGGGAACACAGAAGCCUGGCGUGCUGGCAAAAGGGUGGGAAUUUCUUACCAGUCAGGCUUUGGGCCUCCCUGUGUGCAUAACUGGUUGAAUAAAUGGCAAAAAUAACUGUUCAUCCCCUCUGUAAAGUUUUGAUUAAUGGGAAAAGAAUUUGUGAGGUACGUCUGAAGCUGUAGCAAAUCUGGUGUACUUUGUGCUAUAAAUUUAUCUUCCUGUAUUGUACUGCCAUAAAGAGGAGUACCUUAGGAUAGAACAUGGGCUUAGGACCCCAUAAGCCCACUGUUAAAGCCAGCCUGGCAAGUUGGUCAGUAACAAACUUUGCUGCAGGUCCCUGAAACAAACAAGCAAAAACAACUGAAUGAAGUUUCCUUCUCGUCUUGUUUUAUGUCCUUGGAAGCUUGAGCUUGUGACCAUAUGGCAGUACUUUCUUUUAGUCUCUGCUUAUCCAGAGGACAGGAAUUUAGGGGUUCAUGUUGUAGUUAGCCCCAAAAAUUACCUCAAGCAGUUAAAAGCCUUUGCAAGCUCAAAAUUGGCUGCUCUAGACUCCCUCUGGGAAGAGCAAUGGAAAUUGCCCAGUGCUGUGGCUUAGUAGCUAAGGCUUUGUCUUUUCACAAUGACGGCCUGGGUUCAGGGUUCAAUUCCCAGCUUAGGGAAUGGGUCCUUUCUGGCUUAAUAUCUGUGUGACCUUUACCAUUUGUUGAUUCUCUUCUCCUCCAUGAACUACUUCUGGCUUCAUUUCUUGAAUCUUCCUUUCUCUGAGCUACCUGUGGAGAUUCUAAAUCUUGUAAAAACUGCUAACCACCUCUUUGAAAAGAACUUGUCCAUUCAUGGUCAAAUCAUAACCUUAGUUAAGCCUUAUUGGUUUCACCUGUGAGUUUAUUUUUGGUAAAGUUUAAAAGCCAGAAAUAUUGGCUGUUUUGCCCAGCUAAAGUAGGGUGUAUUUGUCUGGUUUUACACUGAUAUAAAGAACUUCCCUGAGACUGGGUAAUUUAUAAAGGAAAGAGCUUUAAUUGACUCACAGUUUGGCAUGGCUUCAGAGGCCUCAGGAAACUUACAAUCAUGGCAGAAGGCAAAAGGGAAGCAAGGAACCUUCUUCACAUGGCAGCAGGAGAGAAUGCAGGAGGAACUGCCAAACACUUUUAAAGCAUCAGAUCUUGUGAGAACUUACCGUCAUGAGAACAGCAUGAUCCAAUCACCCACCACUAGGUCCCUCACUCAACACAUGGGGAUUAAAAUUCAAGAUGAGAAUUGGGUGGCAACAUAGAGCCAAAACAUCUCAUAGGAUAGUAAUAAGAGAUUUAAAAGGAUUUUAUUUUUUAAGGAGUACUACGGUUAAAAGUCAGCUCAAUUAAAAGCAGAUAUUCAAGCUAUAGGUAUAUUUUAAAGGCCUUUAUGUUUUAUUCUCUUCUUGGAUUGUGUUUUUCUGGAAAAAAGGUUUUUUUCUUUUCUUCUCAGUAGACUUAAUUGUUUUUCUCCAUUUUGUCUUCUUGCUACUCUUGAUGCACACAUGAGAGGACCUAAGAUAAUACAACCUGGGACUCCUUGGGAAAAACAGAAGAGGGGCCACAGACUGCGUUUUGGGAAAAACGUCUAUUUUCCUCAUGAAACCCCAGGGAUUAAAAGCAGACAGAUCCCUCUUAAAAUCUAAGGCUCUGUUCUGUUUUGCUUUGCUUUAUCUGACGUUUUUUGACUUUUUAGGGGUAUCAGAAAUUACUUCGCAGUAUGUGAGAAUUUUGAUUUAUAAUAACUAGGUAGGAAAUAUACUUUUAGGGGUGGCUAAUGGCAGUCAUGAGAGGAUACUUGGCUCUUUGCACAUUUGGAUUGGGAGAAGCAUGCUCUUGGCCAUCUGGAAGGUAUGGAAAAGUCUCCACCCCUCCACUGAGAGAUAAGGCUCCCAUCAGGGUGGGCUAAUCACAAAAUGAGUUGAUUGGUUUUGGGUUGCCUUGCAAUAAAAUGCAUGGUAAAAUCUUUGCAUUGUCUUGUUCUGUAGUGUCCUUUUGGGAUUCAAGAUGUAAUAUAAAAAUGGGAUCCUUAAUUUUGGGAGAUCUGUUUUGUCUUCCAGCUGUGCCAC
This is a long non-coding RNA of Homo sapiens (human), 2375 nucleotides long. The record is from Ensembl. Lineage: Eukaryota; Metazoa; Chordata; Mammalia; Primates; Hominidae.